GGGCCUUUCGUCUAAUCGGUUAAGGCGCCCAGCUCAUAACUGGGACAAUCCCGGUUCGAGUCCGGGAGGGCCCA
This 74-nucleotide transfer RNA is filed under the name compost metagenome. RNAcentral describes it as "tRNA-Met". It matches the Rfam family "tRNA". Rfam says of the family: Transfer RNA (tRNA) molecules are approximately 80 nucleotides in length. Their secondary structure includes four short double-helical elements and three loops (D, anti-codon, and T loops). Further hydrogen bonds mediate the characteristic L-shaped molecular structure. tRNAs have two regions of fundamental functional importance: the anti-codon, which is responsible for specific mRNA codon recognition, and the 3' end, to which the tRNAs corresponding amino acid is attached (by aminoacyl-tRNA synthetases). tRNAs cope with the degeneracy of the genetic code in two manners: having more than one tRNA (with a specific anti-codon) for a particular amino acid; and 'wobble' base-pairing, i.e. permitting non-standard base-pairing at the 3rd anti-codon position. The record is from RNAcentral.